RNAcentral lists this ribosomal RNA (393 nucleotides) under uncultured bacterium. RNAcentral's name for it is "bacterial SSU rRNA". It matches the Rfam family "Bacterial small subunit ribosomal RNA", at positions 28 to 413 of the family's 1533-position model. The record is from RNAcentral.
GAUGAACGCUAGCGGCAGGCUUAAUACAUGCAAGUCGAGGGGCAGCAUGACUGUAGCAAUACAGUUGAUGGCGACCGGCAAACGGGUGCGGAACACGUACAGAACCUUCCUUCGAGCGGGGAAUAGCCCAGAGAAAUUUGGAUUAAUACCCCAUAGUACAACGGAGUGGCAUCACUUUGUUGUUAAAGAUUUAUCACUUGAAGAUGGCUGUGCGGCUGAUUAGGUAGUUGGCGGGGUAACGGCCCACCAAGCCUGCGAUCAGUAACUGGUGUGAGAGCACGACCAGUCACACGGGCACUGAGACACGGGCCCGACUCCUACGGGAGGCAGCAGUAAGGAAUAUUGGUCAAUGGACGAAAGUACUGAACCAGCCAUGCCGCGUGGAGGAUGAAG